UUUUAAAGAGAGUUUGAUCCUGGCUCAGGACGAACGCUGGCGGCGUGCCUAAUACAUGCAAGUCGAACGAACUGACGAAAAGC
RNAcentral lists this ribosomal RNA (83 nucleotides) under Listeria booriae. Its description in RNAcentral is "partial 16S ribosomal RNA". It matches the Rfam family "Bacterial small subunit ribosomal RNA", at positions 1 to 82 of the family's 1533-position model. The record is from RNAcentral. Lineage: Bacteria; Bacillati; Bacillota; Bacilli; Caryophanales; Listeriaceae.